Molecule: transfer RNA, 73 nt
Filed under: Myotis davidii
Lineage: Eukaryota; Metazoa; Chordata; Mammalia; Chiroptera; Vespertilionidae
Rfam family: tRNA
About the family: Transfer RNA (tRNA) molecules are approximately 80 nucleotides in length. Their secondary structure includes four short double-helical elements and three loops (D, anti-codon, and T loops).
Source: Rfam by way of RNAcentral
GCCGGUUUUGCUCAGUGGAUAGAGCAUCAGCCUGCAGGACUGAAGGGUCCUGGUUCAAUUCCAGUCAAGGGCA